GGGGCGUUGGCCGAGAGGUCCAAGGCAGCGGCUUGCUAAGCCGUGGUCGCUCACGCGGCCCACUCGUUCGAAUCGAGUACGCCCCGCCA
This 89-nucleotide transfer RNA is filed under the name Variovorax sp. RA8. RNAcentral's name for it is "tRNA-Ser". It matches the Rfam family "tRNA". Rfam says of the family: Transfer RNA (tRNA) molecules are approximately 80 nucleotides in length. Their secondary structure includes four short double-helical elements and three loops (D, anti-codon, and T loops). Further hydrogen bonds mediate the characteristic L-shaped molecular structure. tRNAs have two regions of fundamental functional importance: the anti-codon, which is responsible for specific mRNA codon recognition, and the 3' end, to which the tRNAs corresponding amino acid is attached (by aminoacyl-tRNA synthetases). tRNAs cope with the degeneracy of the genetic code in two manners: having more than one tRNA (with a specific anti-codon) for a particular amino acid; and 'wobble' base-pairing, i.e. permitting non-standard base-pairing at the 3rd anti-codon position. Lineage: Bacteria; Pseudomonadati; Pseudomonadota; Betaproteobacteria; Burkholderiales; Comamonadaceae. The record is from RNAcentral.